This 251-nucleotide ribosomal RNA is filed under the name uncultured prokaryote. RNAcentral describes it as "partial 16S ribosomal RNA". It matches the Rfam family "Bacterial small subunit ribosomal RNA", at positions 525 to 775 of the family's 1533-position model. The record is from RNAcentral.
ACGAAAGGUGCAAGCGUUAAUCGGAAUUACUGGGCGUAAAGCGCGCGUAGGCGGCUUGAUAAGCCGGUUGUGAAAGCCCCGGGCUAAACCUGGGAACGGCAUCCGGAACUGUCAGGCUAGAGUGCAGGAGAGGAAGGUAGAAUUCCCGGUGUAGCGGUGAAAUGCGUAGAUAUCGGGAGGAAUACCAGUGGCGAAAGCGGAUCUCUGGAGUGUUACUGACGCUGAGGUUCGAAAGCGUGGGUAGCAAACAG